CCUACGGGUGGCAGCAGUGAGGAAUAUUGGUCAAUGGGCGGGAGCCUGAACCAGCCAAGCCGCGUGAGGGAAGAAGGUACAGCGUAUCGUAAACCUCUUUUGUCAGGGAACAAAGGCGGGGACUAGUCCCCGGAUGAGGGUACCUGAAGAAAAAGCAUCGGCUAACUCCGUGCCUGCAGCCGCGGUAAUACGGAGGGGGCAAGCGUUGUUCGGAAGGACUGGGCGUAAAGGGGGUGUAGGUGGUUUGAUAAGUUAGAUGUGUAAUACCCAGGGCUUAACUCGGGUGCUGCAUCUAAAACUGUUAGACUUGAGUACUGGAGAGGAUAGUGGAAUUCCUAGUGUAGCGGUGGAAUGCGUAGAUAUUAGGAGGAACAUCAGUGGCGAAGGCGACUAUCUGGACAGCAACUGACACUGAGGCACGAAAGCGUGGGGAGCAAACAGGAUUAGAUACCCCAGUAGUC
RNAcentral lists this ribosomal RNA (461 nucleotides) under uncultured bacterium. RNAcentral's name for it is "partial 16S ribosomal RNA". It matches the Rfam family "Bacterial small subunit ribosomal RNA", at positions 338 to 795 of the family's 1533-position model. The record is from RNAcentral.